UUAAAUUGAAGAGUUUGAUCAUGGCUCAGAUUGAACGCUGGCGGCAGGCCUAACACAUGCAAGUCGAACGGUAACAGGAAACAGCUUGCUGUUUCGCUGACGAGUGGCGGACGGGUGAGUAAUGUCUGGGAAACUGCCUGAUGGAGGGGGAUAACUACUGGAAACGGUAGCUAAUACCGCAUAACGUCGCAAGACCAAAGAGGGGGACCUUCGGGCCUCUUGCCAUCGGAUGUGCCAGAUGGGAUUAGCUAGUAGGUGGGGUAACGGCUCACCUAGGCGACGAUCCCUAGCUGGUCUGAGAGGAUGACCAGCACACUGGAACUGAGACACGGUCCAGACUCCUACGGGAGGCAGCAGUGGGGAAUAU
RNAcentral lists this ribosomal RNA (367 nucleotides) under Escherichia coli. RNAcentral's name for it is "bacterial SSU rRNA". It matches the Rfam family "Bacterial small subunit ribosomal RNA", at positions 1 to 364 of the family's 1533-position model. Lineage: Bacteria; Pseudomonadati; Pseudomonadota; Gammaproteobacteria; Enterobacterales; Enterobacteriaceae. The record is from RNAcentral.